CAGAAUCCNGCCUAGACGGAACGAUAUCUGGGCGCCGAGGACUCUCGGCUGGCCUCGCGUAGCCCGGCGGGCGACCGUCGGGUGCGGAGGGCCGUUCGUGACUGGGCCGGGGGGUCGCCGAAAGAUGGCGGCCCCCCUCCGGGCGCGCACUUCAUGUUUGUGAACAACUUGGCGCCAAAUGACUCGNAAACGACCUGAUUCUGGGUCAGGGUCUCGUAAGUAGUCUAGUAGCGGCUGUAUGACUGCGAUCG
Molecule: ribosomal RNA, 251 nt
Filed under: Electrona antarctica
Lineage: Eukaryota; Metazoa; Chordata; Actinopteri; Myctophiformes; Myctophidae
Description: partial 28S ribosomal RNA
Source: RNAcentral